Non-coding RNA from Xyrichtys novacula (pearly razorfish), 13485 nucleotides. The record is from the annotation of a GenBank genome assembly. Lineage: Eukaryota; Metazoa; Chordata; Actinopteri; Labriformes; Labridae.
CUCGAUUACAAAAACUGACAACACGGAACAAAGUCCUGGCUUUAGUCCAUUUUUAUUUCAAAUACAACACCAACAGGGUCUUAAAUCCUGAUGAUUAUGACCAGAAAAACAUUACAGUAUGGGCUACAGUAGCAUUACCACGUCUGCAAAGCACAACCUCUCAGCAAUACUCCGAUUCAACCCUCUGCACUAACAUGAAGCCACUGCCAGUCGGUCUAUUAGAGCCUCUCAGAGCUCUCUCAGGAUCAUAUGAUAAAAGCCAAUCUGAUAAAUGGGUUGGUGCAAGAUCAAUUAGUGUGAUGUGGGCUCUCUUUCUGGUCUUAGUCAGCAUUCUUGCAGGUGACUUUUGGAGUAGCUGAAGCUGAGAAAUCUUCUCUUUUAGGAAGAUGUCAACAAUACUGAGUCACAAAGAAAAUCUUUCCCUGGGAUAAUCAGGCAGAGAUCUGGACAGAGUAAAUGUGUUUGUUUUUGUAAUGUCAAAGUAAAAUGGUGUCCCCUUCUACAAUGAAAAAAGUCUAUUUAUUUAAAAUUUACAAGUGUGUCCCUGAUAGGACUGAGGAGAAACUUCAUGCUGGAUGAGCAAGUCACCACUGUUAAUUAACCGUACAUCUCUCUUAAAUGUUGCAUUCAUAGUAAGUAUGUUAUGGUUUUUAAUUUAUUGAAAACAUCGUGAUAAUUUUCCCUUUGGUUAAUUAAGUGUACGGUUUAAUGUGAAUGUUUUUGUCUCUUUUUCUUGAUCAGUAAAAAAAAACAACAAAAAAACAAAACAAAACAAAACAAAACAAAACAGCUACACUGCCACCAAGCUACUGAGAAAUAUAGCCAAACUAAUAAUGCCAAUGUUUGUGACACUGUAACUGCAAAACACUGCUGAAAAUUGUUGCUGAACAGUAGUUUACACAAGACUAAAAGUCAGAGGAGAAAUAUGUCCCAAAAGCACAACAAAGAUUUUAAUGGGUUGCUGUUGAUAUCAUGCUGUUGCACGAUAUUGGAAAAACCUAACAUUGCAACUUUUUUCAACACUACGAUAUAUAUUGCGAUAUUAAAAAAAUAGAGGAAUUUUCACCAGAUUACCUGAAUAGCACUUUAUGUUGUGCUGCACUGCUGAAAUUUUAAGGACAGUAAAACUGCACUUAUCUUACCCCUUUUUUUAAAUGUUAGUAGAAUGGCUUCUGUCUGUCUCAGAGAUAUUUUUAGCUUUUAUUGUGCUGGGACGUUAUUGUGGCAACAGAUGAAAGGCACUGCCGACACAGAAAAGGUGUUUGGUGACGCCGUCCUUCUAGUAACAGAAAUAAUUGCAGAUAAGUGACUUUGCUUUUCUUUUUGCCGACAAGAUCUUCGGUGGUAAGUGACGUUGCUUUUCUUUUUGCCGACAAGAUCUUCGGUGGUAAGUGACGUUGCAUUUCUUUUUGCCGACAAGAUCUUCGGCGGUAAGUGACGUUGCUUUUCUUUUUGCCGACAAGAUCUUCGGUGGUAAGUGACGUUGCAUUUCUUUUUGCCGACAAGAUCUUCGGCGGUAAGUGACGUUGCUUUUCUUUUUGCCAACAAGAUCUUCGGCGGUAAGUGACGUUGCUUUCCUUCUUGCCGACAAGUCUUCAUCUUUGACGGUAAGUGACAUUGCUUUUUGUUCUUGCCGACAAGUCUUCAUUUUCGGUUCUUUUUGUUCGUUUCUUAUUUUGGAAUCGUUGUUGUUGUAACCGGUGUUGUGCGGAGAAUUAAACGCACGUCAGCCUGCAUGCACAUCGCAAAACGCGCACCGCUCAUAGUAGAAUGGUUUACGAAAAUGUACAAUUUAAAACCUAUAGGAUUCUUACUUGUUGGGCAAAACAGUAAUAAGUAACGUUCCAAAAUUAAUUCUCGGUACACGCACCAGCACCAGCGACUCGCUCCAUGUGCAGGCCAUUUGCAGGGGCGCGGUUUCCUUCUCGCUGAUUUUGAUUGAUGGCUAAAAGCGUAGUCUGAUUGGCAGCUGAGUAACGAAUGAAUCUGAUUGGUGGAUCGCUGCACAGCACAUGCAGAGUCACAUGCAGUGUAUCUCAGUCAGCAACCCUUGAAAUUAGAGGAGUUCUUUCGCCUUCGACAUCAUAGGCUCUGCAAUGCCACUAUCGUGCAUAAGUACAUCUUGAUAACGAUGCUCAAACGAUAUGUGGUGCUGCCCUAGUUGCUGUAAGAACAGCAGACAUACGGGUUUAUCUAAGUAUGCACAGCGCAGGUUGAGGCUGCCAUUAUCUAGGAGACAAACUAAACCAUGGCAGCAGGGGGUAGAGCAGUUGGCCAAUAAUUGGAAGGUUGGUGGUUCAAUUCCCCACUAUCCCUAGUCUGUCCUGUCCUUGGGCAAGACUCUUAACCCACCUUUCACCCAGUGGGUGUCCCCUACUUGUGUAUAAAUGUGAAUGUUGUGGUGGUGGUCGGAGAGACCAUAGGCGCACACUGGCAGCUACCUUUCCAUCAGUCUGCCCCAGGGUGGCUGUGACUACAAGGGUCGUUUACCACCACCAGUCUAUGACUGUAUGGGUGAAUGAAUAAUGUAUCCAAUGUAAGGCACUUUCAGGUCACUGACAUAAAGCGCUAUAAAAAUCUGAUGCAUUAUUAUUAUUAAACCUUCAUCAUGACUAUUUCAAAAUUUGCAAUAUUACAAUCACUGUUGGGUCGGAUGUAAGCAAGAGAACUUCAUGUCUAAGUGCCUGAAUUAGAUCCCCCAAUCUGAGUUAACUGUUAUCAACAGGUGUAACUUAGUCUAUGUAAUAUUUAGGUGGCCACACUUUCGGUGCAUUUGUCAGUCAGGUAUUUUAUCAGCAGUUCAGCUUUAAAUGUAAGAAUAAUUCUGAUAAGAAAGUUCUGAGUACAAAGUUUUGGUCAUCUUUAUAAAAAUAAUAAGACUUUCCAGAGGACGAUGACAAAAAUGUGUCCUCCCACGUCCUUUCUACUACCAUCCUCUUGAGAUGGUGGAAGAUCUUUGCAUUUUACCUCUGGAGCUCAGAGGAAGGAUGCACCGGUGGAUCUUCUGCAGAAGUCUGUAAACCAAAAAGAGACAUGAUCAUUAUUACUUUUUCACACAGCUAAUACUCACAGUCCAAAUCUACAGAAAACACUACUGCAACAAUUUUACUAAAGCCUGUACGCUGACCUUCCCUGAGCUCCAGGUCUUCCACCGCCUUGGUCACCCUUGGAGUGAACCUCUUAUGAUGCCACCAACAGAUGAUCAACAUAGCUAAAAGACAAAUCAAGAACACGUGAGGUUUAUUCAAAAUAGGAAAUAGAUAUUAUUCGUAUUUAGGUUUGACUGUUUUUCAUUUAAAACUAGUGUUGAAAUAAGUUUAAUCACUCGGUCCCACUGUGAGUACUCACCUAGAAUAAUGAAAGGUAUUAUCAGAAGGCGUAGCAGCAUCACAGUAUAGGUAUGUAAUGAAAAUUUAAGGUUUACUGUUUGGCCUCCAUACUGUAUCUGUCAAAAAGAAAUGUAUUUAUUUUUUGGGGAUUGUAAAUAAGUUUAGAGACAACUAAGUGAAGAAUUGUUUGCUUCUAAAUUCACUAUUUUCAUUUUCGUUUUACACAGUAUUUCUGGCAUAUUGUGUCUUAAAGAUUUACCAUCAGCUCCUCAAAUGUAUCAGUAACAUCUUGUGUGUUUUGAAUCUCACAGAGGAUUAAAUCCAUCUUCUCAGGCAUAUUUGUCAUGAUGCAGGGGUACUUCUUUCCCUCAUGAACACCCCACACAGACAACUCUGCUUUGGUCAUCUCCAGUUUAUCUUCCUUUUUCUGAAAUCAAAACAUAGACAAAUGCUGAUCAUUUAUGCAUUCAUGUCCUAUAUUUGUACAUGUGUGCAUAAAGUCUACCUGUAUAGUGAUGUGGACACUGUCUCCUGCUUUUGUGGAUGUGAAGCUUGUAAACUCAGGGUCUGGGUAGUAGGUUAUUUUUGUGGGACAGAUCAAGCUCUUAUUGGCUACUUUCAGGGUCAGAGUGCUGGAAAAAGCCGCAUGAGCAUUUUCAGCUGCAGGUGAGUCAUAGGUGAGAGUCUUUAGCCCCUGUAAAAACAAUUCUGUGUUACAAUCACUGUAAAGUCUUUAUAGUGUUUCAUGAUAUGACAUUGUGGAGCUUGUAAACUCAGCGAACCUGCAGUCAUGUCACUAUGAUGAUAAACUAUAAAAACUGGGACUGUCAAAGUUGAUGCGUUAAAGACAAUUUCUCUUUGCGUCAAAAAAUUUCUGAGGCAUGAAUAAUAGACAUAUGUUCUGUUAUAUUUGUUGUACAAGCCCUGAUAUGACCUCAGGCCUGCAGGAACAGUCUUUUAAAUGUAAUGUAACUGCAGUACCGACUAGAACCGCUAGAUGGAGGCUCUCUGAUUUCAUAUGAGACUCCAUGUUGUGCUACUCUCACCACAGACUGCAGUUUAUGCCAGUUUAUGCCUUUUUCUUUCUGCUUGUGUUUGACCUCUGAAUAUUAUUUUAUUUCAUGUUAAAUUCUCGAGAAAAAACUGCCAUGAGGCUCUCUAACUGUUGUCUAUGAUAGGCUAAUGUUGAUGCUAAUGCUCAAGAUUGUAAAAUUUGUAAAUGCACUAUUGUGCAGCAUGUCAUGGUUAUCAAAGUAUGACAGGAUAUUGUCUGUUUCCAUAGAUUCACCUGGUUAUUGUCGUUUCCUGCCAGUCUGACCUCCUGCAGGACUUCGCUGUGUAUGACCGCUUCUACAAACUCCAGGUGGGAUCCACUGAUUGUGAUCUUUCUUUUCCCACUACAGGACACAUACCAGCAUACAAUCAAAUGAAAACAAACAUUUUCACACUCUGGAUAUCAGAGAAUGUAUAAUGUGUUAAACACACAACAGUGGCUAACACUUCAAUAUCAGGAUUACCUACAAAUGCAAAUAACAGUGUAAUUCUUUCAGUCAUUGCCCUAAAGAAAAGAGCUACAGAUGUAACGUCAGGUAUGACUAGGGGUGUCAUCUGAGUAUUUCUUCUCACGGAGUCUUCAUGCACCUUGAAGAUCCUCAAAGAUUCUCAUUGAUUACUAAGACCUUUGGCAGUCAUCAGACCAGAUUAGACCAGCAGCAGAUCCUAAAAACUUUCACCUGGUCUGAUCAACUUGAAAUGUUUGUUCUUGCACCUGUACGAUGUUUUAUAUGAAAAUAUAAAAAGGCCUCUGUAGUGGGAUCAGCCCCUCCCAGAAUCUCCUGUUAUGUUUGCUUGGUAACUUUUCAUUUGUACCACUGGGUAUUACUAAAGCAGAAUCUGCACUGCCUCCUUGCCAAGUCAUUGCAAAGUUUUUUUUUUUUUUGUCAUUAAACUCCAUCAGUCUUAUCCUCAGAAAAGUCUAGUUUAUCAAAGUCUACAUGUUAAUAUUUUUAUAGUUUCUAUAGUCCUAAAACAGUCAUACCUGAACCAGGUGCUUUCAGGUGAAAUGCUGGGGCAGGAUGGUGCUGAGCGAUAGGUGAUAAAUGUGUUACCAUGGCAACUACCAUCUGGAAGGAGAGCACAUACUUUGGCCACACCUUUAAAUUUCGCACUGGGUAUGUGGAACGUCAGAGUUUCACCAGUGUUGCUCCAAACAGGAGACCUAACCAGAGUGCACAGAGUGAGACAAAGACAAACUGAAGCAGUGAGAUUCAUAAAAAACAUUUUAUAAUAUGUAAAAUUCAGUUAUUGGAGUCCAACGUUUUAAUACACCCAUAACCUGACUCACUCUUGUGGUGUGAAGUCCAGGUCUGCCUGGAUCCUCACUCUGAUCACAGAACUGAGGUUACUACCAGACAACACUGCAUGGUUUUUGCCGUGGAAAGACACAACACUGGGAGUGAUAGAGGAUAUCUGUGGUCUCUGACAGUCAAACCAACAAAAGGUAACAGUUUUAUUUAGAUUUUAUACACUACCACCUGCUAAUAUUUGGAUUUCCUGAAUGUGAAUGAGGUCUGCAAGCAAAAAUGGUGGACUCACGGGGAAGUCCAUGAAUGACUUCAUCAUUUGGCAAACACUGUCCUGCAGAAAGAGCAGUGAGGAGUAAGUUCAGUGGCUUGAGAGAGAAAUAGUCAUAAAACUAUAAUAGUGUCUUCAGUUGUCUUAAAAAUAUUCAACCAGGUAUCAUGCAGUCUUUAACUGUCCAUGUUUCAAACAUGCUGACAUGCUGUUGUCACAUUUUGCAUAGAGUUAGCUGAAUAUACUAAUAAGCAACAGCAGGGUAGAGACAUGCCAUCAGCUUCAGCCUUGUGCUACAAAGUGUCCUGCUAUAUCUUGUGCCCCCUAUGAUCUGAACUAAACCAAACCCAGGCAGAGAAAAGAAAAAGCAGCAACCGCUGGCAUCUUAUUAUGAAGCCAGAUCAGAAGUGUUAAAAACUGCAGUUCCUCAAGUGUCUACUAGAAGCUGGCUUAAAAAAAGUCCAUGAAAUUCCUUUAACACCUGUGUUAAUAUGUAGGUGGGUAUGACCACCUCAGCUUCACCUCUUCAUCUAUGGUAUAAAUAUGCUAGGUUAGGGUCAUUGGAUCAGUCCUGUUGUACUUUAGGUAUCUUUCCAUGAAAAUGAAAUUUUUCUUGUAUUUGUUAGUUGCUAAGUGCUGCACAGAACUCCGCGUACAGUGAGCUGGAUCUUUGUACAUAACACAAGACAAAGUAUGGUCAAGAUUUGCUCCUUUGAAAAAUGUCUUGAGAUAACGGCAAAUAAUAUCAUGAAUAUAAACAAAAGAUUGACUGAUUGGUUAUUCUCAAAAGUGACUUUUUCUUUUACUAGUAAAGAAAUACACAACUACUACUGCUGCUACUUCUUAUUAGUGGUGGUAGUCAAAGUAGUACUGCUGAUAUUGUUGAAUUAUAGUUUAAAGUGGCAUUUUAUCUAAACCAAGUAAAAGCCAUUUUUAUACUAGUGAAUAAAAACAUGCAUAAUUACAUUCCUGACGCCUUGAUUUCCCCAAAAACAGCCGCUUGCGGUCCAGGCACAUCCAGCAUUAAUACACUUUUGGCACCUGAAAGCAAAACAGUUUUUACAUGACGAGUUUACAUGAAGUUUUUGAGCAGCAGCAUCAUCAUUUGGUCGAGUUCAAGUACAAUUUUUUGAGUUGGAAAUCUCAGUGAACUACUCUGUGGACUUUCAUGCAGGAUGUCAAAAGAUCCCACCUGUGUUCAUGUGCUAAUAAACUCUGAGAAAACCUUGAAUGAAUGAAUGAUUCCUAAUUGGUCUCAUCACAGAUGGGAACACCUUGUAAGCAUUUGUUUUUAAAGGUACUUUAAAAAUAAGGUUUACAUAUUAACUAUUAUUAUGAGAUAAAAUAAGAUAGCAACGCAGACAUGUGGUCAACAAGUAAGAAUACAAUUAAAGAAAGAGGGGAAACACUGCAAUCCACAAAAUUAAAAAUGAAAAUGAAAACACAAUAAGGUGUGUGUGUGUGCGUGUGUGUGUGCGUGCGUGUGUGUGUGUGUGUGUGUGUGUGAGAGAGAGAGAGAGAGAGAGAGAGAGGAGAGAGAGAGAGAGAGAGAGAGAGAGAGAGAGAGAGAGAGAGAGAGUGUGGAGGGGUAGUGUGGUGACAGUCUGUAUUUGUUUUGCACCUUGUAUUACAUGAAACCAGAUUUUGUUCUCUUGAUAGCUCUCCCAGUCUGGUCAAAAUAAGGACUUUAGAUUAGUAGAAAACAGUGGAGGACUUACAGGACAGGUGUUGAUGGUUCUCUGAUGUCCGUACAGUUGAGCAGGUUCAGCCUCUCAGUCAACUGUGAUGAACCAAGUCUGAUCUUUACAACAAUAGGCAGUCCUUUUUUAAUGAAAAAAAUCUGUGAGUAUUACAAUUUUUAUCAUUUUUGAAAAUUUGACAGAAUUUUAAGAUCUCUGACAUGAUAUAGAUUCAUUAAAUAUGAGACCUUUAUAUUAAAAUAAUUUUUAUUAUAUUAUUAUUAUCUAUCAUGACUGACCUCCAGCAGGAAGUGUGCUUGAUUCAAGGGUGGAAGAACAAUGUGGAAAAUGUGGACGCUGAAUUUUCAUUUCAAAGUGCUCAGUGGAACUUGUAGAGAAGUGACAGGCAAAGUUAGAGAGCGCCAUUUUGCCCCCUGUCACAUGCACGUGGAGUUUAAGUUUGAUCUGAAACAUAUCCAGAUUGGAGUAAAUAAACAAUCGACUAUCAGAGAGCCACAACUCAUCAUAGCUCAGAACCUAACCCUAAUCUCUACCUGUCCAGUCUGGUCCUGCGUAACUUGAUAGGAAACCAUUUUGUGCUGAGAAUCAUCAGGAAUGGACAACCAGUCUGAGCCUUGGCAGUUUUCUUCAAAUGUACAGCUAGGAGAAGAAAAAAGGUAAGUCUAAUCCAAGUUUUAAAUUCCUUCACUGAUGUUCACUGCAGAUGAUGUUUCUAACCUGUUUUCAGGGCCACACCAGACACAGUAUGGAUCCUGUGCAGACCAACAAUCCUGCAGAGUUUUGUAUGUGCUGCACUUUGAUACAGGAACAUGAUUGAUCUAAAUAAAUAAAGAAGAAACUGAUCAAUGUGGCAAUAAUUUAAAAUACAGAAAACAUGUGUUAAAGAUUAGCAAAAAAAAAAAAAGCCAGAAUAUCUUCAUGUAUUUCAAUUUUCAUCACAUCUUUUGUUUGAUAUAUAAAUACAACAUUACCUGGUUUUGAAAUGGCACAUACACAUGUUUCAGAUCCACCUGAUCCAGAUGUAGUUUUGAAAACACUUUAUGGUCACUGCUAGUUUUGUAGAGCACUUUGGGACAGGUGGUCUGGUAGUUCUUGUUCACAGCAAGCUGAAAACAAAAACGCAGUUUCGUUAUGUUUUUCAGAGACUGAGUAGCUACACACGUUUAGCAACACUUGAGUCUGUGGUAUUCAAGAGCCUCCACUGUGGUAAAACAUGUUCCAAACAUCCUUCAGACAUGUUUUUGAAUCAUUUUUUCCUUUGCUUUUUUUAAAUUCUGUUUUGAAGUGCAGUUUUAUGAGGUACUUGAUGGAAGAUGGAAGCAUGAAAUGCUCUACAAUCUCCUGGUAGACUGUUUAGUUGACUUUGGAGUUGAUAAAACACAGUAAGUUAACAGUAACAGAUAACAUCCCUUACCAAAAAAAAGUUCACCUCAAGUAUAUUUUAUGAAGUAUACUGAAGUUCAUUCUAGUAUACUUCCCAAAGUAUACUUUGUACACUGAUACAAAUAUACUACCAGUGUACCAGUGUACCUGUGUAAUAAGUAAAAUUCUUGGAACUAAAUUGGCCCAAUUUAGUAUGUAUAAGUACAUUUGAAGCAUAAUUAAUGUUAACUUCCUGGUAUACUAUUAGUUUACCAGUAAUAAACUUCUAGUCCCCUUUUUAGUUUAUAAAUGUACACUCUGAAGCAUACCUUUAUUUAUUUAUACCUUUUAUAUACUUAGUAUAAUUCUUAGUACAAGCCAAGUAUACUUAACAUUAACUGUUAAGGAUAUCUCUGAAAAGUCCAUCAAAAGUAAACUGAAAGCAUACUAAGUUUAAAAAGAGUAUACUUGAAGUACACUUCAACAUACUUCUUUUGGUGAGGGAUUGCACCACAAAUUAUCACAGACAGCAGAAACUUGAUGCUGGACUUCGAUUUGUUUAGACUCUGUGUUUCCCCACUCUUCCUUCAGACUCAAGGAUCUUGAUCCCCAAAUGAGAUACAACAUCUGACUUAGAUUUUUUAAAGGACUCUGGACAUAGGUGGCCAUAUCUGUUGCACAACUAUAACACAUUUGACUUUCCACUGAUACACUAUUUAUAGAGCUGUGAGAACAGUCCGCCUUGUCAGCAACUAUCUUCUGUGGCGUACCUUCCAUGGUGAAGGUGCGACAUCGACAACCUCCCCCACCAUGAUUGUGGCUGACUGCAAUGAACUAGACUGAAAGCUACACGAUCAUUGCUGAGGUGAACAAAAAGUAUGCUUGAGUUCAUUUAACUCCUGGUGGACCGGACACAUUCUUUUUGUGUUAAACUAGGUGCAUAUUGGGUGUGUUCCUUUAGAAAACUUUUAGUAUGUUAAACGUUCUUAAAGAAAGGCUGAAGUUCAGCUUUGAGCUUUUUCAAUAUACUUAAAUGUAUUCCUGCUCUCACGGAUCAACUGAAACCAUUUUGAACCGUAUUAUGCUUGCACUGCUUUAAAAGUACUUUUACUUUUUACGAUUCUUUAUAUGCCUGUUCUAUCUCUGUGUGUUUUCAGUGUCAUAAAGGUGAGUUUCCUGCACACUUCCAAUAGGAAAAGGUCCAGAUGGUAAUUCAAGUCCAGUGCACGGGAAAAAGUAACUAAAGUCUUUUACUAUUAUGCUAUGACAGAACAUUUUGUACAAUAAUCAAUUGUUUUUAAUGCACACUUGUAGCUCAUUAUUUGUGCUUUGAAAAUAUACUUUAAGCCAAGUAAGAUGUGUUCUCAGUGUUUGGAUUUAAUAUUUAAAAGUUAAAUUUGACAUCAAUUUCUUUUAGCUAAAUUUUCACCAUAAAACUGAAUAUGAAAAAGUUCAAAGAUAUUGUCCAUAAUGUGAUAAAAGAAGUGUCUUUAAAAUUAACACCAUGUUUUGAAUUACUGAGAGCAGGAAAUGUUUCAGAAAUUUUCAGCCCGCGCAGCUGCCUGACUGGCCCUCAAAUUAGCUGAACAGCUGUACAAAAUAUGCACACCGUCCUAUGAAAAUCACUUAUUAUCACUUAUUAUUUAUGCAACAUUGAGGACUCUGUUGCAGCAUUUUAUAAAGCAAAACAGGUUUUAUAUCAAAACUCACUUCACAUCCCUUCACUGGUUUCAUCUUAUUUAAGUUACUGAUCAGAGGUUCAUCCACAACGCUGCGUAUCAGGACAAUGCAAAUGUAUUAUUCCUACAUUUAAAAAAAAAAAAAAAAAAAUUUAAUUUGAUAUACUUUUAGACAGCAACAAUAAUGUUCAAACCAAAAAAUAAAUGGUGUGGAAAAGAGCGGUCGCUGACGAGCAUUCAUCACCAUAAUUUUAGUUAAGAGAAUGAACAGCCUACUGCUGUAGAGUCGGGGUGAUAAAAAGCUGGUUAGUCUUAGCUCAAAGCAGCUGUCCCCAUGCUGCAUGUCCCUUUGUACACUCACCUUAAUAAGCUGUCCAUCUCCUGUCCCAAUGAAAAAAACUAUCCAGGCCUUUUGUCUCACUGCCAGCACAGAGGUCAUGUAGUUCCGUCUUAAGAUCACCGUCUUUGGCUUCAGUGUCUUUGGCUGAGAAACACAAUAAAUUCAUAAUUAGUAUUUCUGUAUUGUUAACGGGUAAAGUGUUGAUGUAAAGGUGAUGAAUUAUACUUUGGCUCCAACUCUAAACCUGCCUCAUAAACGGACUCAUUAUCUUUUAUGGAACUUCAUGAACUGAAUUGAUUGUUUAAUAAGUUCAGCUUCAGUUAAACUUAGUUCCUAAAACAAAACAAAAAAAUAUAUAAAAAAUGUCAGGAGACACAAGACUGCACUUUGAAGUUUGAAUGCUUUUGAUUUUCUACUAAUUUUAAACAAUUUUAGAAUUGAGCUGAAACCUCCCUGGGAGAAAAAAAAACUCUUUAUUCAAGUGAUAUAAUCUUAUUUUCUUUUAGAGAGCUGUUUUAAAAUGGAUUAACUCUUUAAGUGCUCAUUAAAGCAACAUAAUUUGACGACCACCCACCGUUGGUCUGUUCCUGGCACCACAGUCAGAGCAGAAGUCCGGGUCCACAUCGGUCCUUCCACUAAGAUCAGGACUGAUGUCAAACACCACCAGCUCGGUGUUUGUUUGUCCUUCGCCCACACUGAACACACCGCUCCAGAGCACCGGCGGACCGCCAGGGAUCACCGAGGAGGCGAUCAGUCUGCGGUCUUCACCUCCAUCAGAGACACUGAGGGUCGCGCCCCGCAACGACUGAACAGUUUUAAGUUUACCUCCUUUGCCAACAACCCAAAGCAGACGGACUUUGUUGCUUUCAUAUUUUGAGGGCAGAUUGGAGAAAAGAUAAAUGAUGGAGUUAAUCUGAAAUCCAUCCACAAACUCCCCAUCGUCCUCAAGUUCGAUCACAGGAUUUCUGUCCUCGCUGUUAACAGAAAAUAUUUGUCCUAUCUGAUCGUUAUUGGUGUUAUGAAGGCUCACUGCAUCUGACGCAGAGGGACAGAUGCCCUUUUUCGGUUCGUCUUUGUAUUGCUGAACAGCAGCCACAAUGUAAGUCUCUGUCCGGGUUUGAGUCUCCACAUUCACCAGGAAACUCACGGACGCGCUGCUGCGCCACAGAGACCCCACCUGGAUGAGUUCCCGGUACAGCACGUUGGAAAUGUUCUUCAAGUCCAGCAGCUCACAGUAACCACACCCGUUAUCAGUCACACCACAUGUUAUCAGAUUGUUAUCAGCGACAAGCGGCGACAACACGUUGACACUGAAAGUUGCGUUAAACUUAUCCGUGCCAGAAACUCGCUUGAACUGCGCGUCAGUCGGCCGAAGAGCGUCUUCCAAGAUCCCCCUCUGGGUCAGACUCUGGACCAGAGUCAGGUCGUGACUCAGCUGGUACAGCAUCUCUUCAGUGGCGAUAUAAAUCGUGCCAUUGGUUACGGCGUAGUGGCGGAUGUCUCCCUCGAAGUGGAACCCUCCGUCCUCCUCCAGACACAGACCUGUUCCUCCCCAGAGAAUGAACAACAGAGCAGACAGCAGGAGCAUCUUCGUGCAGAGACGGCAAACCAUCACUCAUUCUCUGAUGGCUCACAGGAGCCUCUGCUGACCUAAAGCGGCUCUGGAUUCGUGCGUAAAAGCUGAAUAGAGAAGUGCAGACAGUGGGAGGGCGUGCGCGGAACGAAACCGAACACAGAUACUUCUGAGACUGUUGAGGUGUUUAGCACUUUAACCACAUUUCCCCGAAGCGUCACGAAGUUAAACCACAGUUCGUGUAAGUGGGUAGAGCGCACAUAACAGGAUGUGAUCUGUUUGCUCGAUUACAAAAACUGACAACACGGAACAAAGUCCUGGCUUUAGUCCAUUUUUAUUUCAAAUACAACACCAACAGGGUCUUAAAUCCUGAUGAUUAUGACCAGAAAAACAUUACAGUAUGGGCUACAGUAGCACUACCACGUCUGCAAAGCACAACCUCUUAGCAAUACUCAGAUUCAACCCUCUGCACUAACAUGAAGCCUCUGCCAGUCGGUCUAUUAGAGCCUCUCAGAGCUCUCUCAGGAUCGUAUGAUAAAAGCUAAUCUGAUAAAUGGGUUGGUGCAAGAUCAAUUAGUGUGAUGUAGACUCUCUUUCUGGUCUUAGUCAGCAUUCUUGCAGGUGAGUUUUGGAGUAGCUGAAGCUGAGAAAUCUUCUCUUUUAGGAAGAUGUCAACAAUACUGAGUCACAAAGAAAAUCUAAAAAAUAUAUAGCCAAACUAAUAAUGCCAAUGUUUGUGACACUAUAACUGCAAAACACUGAUGAAAAUUGUUGCUGAACAGGAGUUUACACAAGAUUAAAAGUUAGAGGAGAAAUAUGUCCCCAAAGCACAACAAAGAUUAUAAUCGGUUGCUGUUGAUAUCAUGCUGUUGCACGAUAUUGGAAAAACCUAACAUGGCAACUUUUUUCAACACUACGAUAUAUAUAG